Molecule: ribosomal RNA, 228 nt
Filed under: uncultured bacterium
Lineage: Bacteria
Description: partial 16S ribosomal RNA
Rfam family: Bacterial small subunit ribosomal RNA
Source: RNAcentral
UGCGUAGGUGGUUUCUUAAGUCAGAGGUGAAAGGCUACGGCUCAACCGUAGUAAGCCUUUGAAACUGGGAAACUUGAGUGCAGGAGAGGAGAGUGGAAUUCCUAGUGUAGCGGUGAAAUGCGUAGAUAUUAGGAGGAACACCAGUUGCGAAGGCGGCUCUCUGGACUGUAACUGACACUGAGGCACGAAAGCGUGGGGAGCAAACAGGAUUAGAUACCCUGGUAGUCC